This 481-nucleotide ribosomal RNA is filed under the name uncultured bacterium. Its description in RNAcentral is "partial 16S ribosomal RNA". It matches the Rfam family "Bacterial small subunit ribosomal RNA", at positions 28 to 507 of the family's 1533-position model. The record is from RNAcentral.
GACGAACGUUGGCGGCGUGCUUAAUACAUGCAAGUCAACUGAAGCAGUGGUAGCAAUAUCGCUGUGGAGGUGGCGCACGGGAGAGUAACACGUAGGUAAUCUGCCUUCAGGUCUGGCAUAACUCCGGGAAACCGGGGCUAAUAGCAGAUGAUGCAGCGGCUCGACAUCGAGACAGUUGUUAAAGCUAUGGCGCCUGAAGAUGAGCCUGCGUCUGAUUAGCUAGUUGGCGGGGUAACGGCCCACCAAGGCAACGAUCAGUAGCUGGUCUGAGAGGAUGAUCAGCCACACUGGAACUGAGACACGGUCCAGACUCCUACGGGAGGCAGCAGUAAGGAAUAUUGCUCAAUGGGAGAAAUCCUGAAGCAGCAACGCCGCGUGAGGGACGAAGGGCUUUUGCUUGUAAACCUCUGUAGUGAGAGAAAAAAAUCCCAAUCUUUGGGACAUGAUGGUAUCUCAAAAGUAAGCCCCGGCUAACUACGUG